AUUGAACGCUGGCGGCAGGCUUAACACAUGCAAGUCGAGCGGGGGAAGGUAGCUUGCUACCGGACCUAGCGGCGGACGGGUGAGUAAUGCUUAGGAAUCUGCCUAUUAGCGGGGGACAACAUCUCGAAAGGGAUGCUAAUACCGCAUACGUCCUACGGGAGAAAGCAGGGGAUCUUCGGACCUUGCGCUAAUAGAUGAGCCUAAGUCGGAUUAGCUAGUUGGUGGGGUAAAGGCCUACCAAGGCGACGAUCUGUAGCGGGUCUGAGAGGAUGAUCCGCCACACUGGGACGGAGACACGGCCCAGACUCCUACGGGAGGCAGCAGUGGGGAAUAUUGGACAAUGGGGGGAACCCUGAUCCAGCCAUGCCGCGUGUGUGAAGAAGGCCUUAUGGUUGUAAAGCACUUUAAGCGAGGAGGAGGCUACUUUAGUUAAUACCUAGAGAUAGUGGGCGUUACUCGCAGAAUAAGCACCGGCUAACUCUGUGCCAGCCGCCGCCGUAA
This 501-nucleotide ribosomal RNA is filed under the name uncultured bacterium. RNAcentral's name for it is "partial 16S ribosomal RNA". It matches the Rfam family "Bacterial small subunit ribosomal RNA", at positions 30 to 523 of the family's 1533-position model. The record is from RNAcentral.